This 465-nucleotide ribosomal RNA is filed under the name Vreelandella stevensii. RNAcentral describes it as "partial 16S ribosomal RNA". It matches the Rfam family "Bacterial small subunit ribosomal RNA", at positions 338 to 795 of the family's 1533-position model. Lineage: Bacteria; Pseudomonadati; Pseudomonadota; Gammaproteobacteria; Oceanospirillales; Halomonadaceae. The record is from RNAcentral.
CCUACGGGGGGCAGCAGUGGGGAAUAUUGGACAAUGGGCGAAAGCCUGAUCCAGCCAUGCCGCGUGUGUGAAGAAGGCCUUCGGGUUGUAAAGCACUUUCAGUGGGGAAGAAAGCCUUGGGGCUAAUACCCUCGAGGAAGGACAUCACCCACAGAAGAAGCACCGGCUAACUCCGUGCCAGCAGCCGCGGUAAUACGGAGGGUGCGAGCGUUAAUCGGAAUUACUGGGCGUAAAGCGCGCGUAGGCGGUCUGAUAAGCCGGUUGUGAAAGCCCCGGGCUCAAUCUGGGAACGGCAUCCGGAACUGUCAGGCUAGAGUGCAGGAGAGGAAGGUAGAAUUCCCGGUGUAGCGGUGAAAUGCGUAGAGAUCGGGAGGAAUACCAGUGGCGAAGGCGGCCUUCUGGACUGACACUGACGCUGAGGUGCGAAAGCGUGGGUAGCAAACAGGAUUAGAUACCCCGGUAGUC